GAGAGAGUGGCCCAGUGGUCAAAAGCGGUAGACUAUAAAUUUGUUGAAGUUUUUCUAUGCAGGUUCGAAUCCUACCUCUCCUA
Capsicum annuum is the source of this 83-nucleotide non-coding RNA. The record is from Rfam. Lineage: Eukaryota; Viridiplantae; Streptophyta; Magnoliopsida; Solanales; Solanaceae.